AGAACGAACGCUGGCGGCGUGGAUAAGACAUGCAAGUCGAACGCCCAUUCCGGGGUAGCAAUAUUCCGAAGUGGGAGUGGCGAAAGGGUGCGUAACAUGUGGGUAAUCUGCCGUGAAGUUUGGGAUAACUCGCUGAAAGGCGAGCUAAUACUGGAUGUGACUGUCGGGUGGCAACGCUUGACUUUCAAAGCUGGGGACCGCAAGGCCUGGCGCUUUACGAUGAGCCCGCAACCUAUCAGCUAGUUGGUGAGGUAACGGCCCACCAAGGCUAAGACGGGUAGCUGGUCUGAGAGGACGACCAGCCACACUGGAACUGAGACACGGUCCAGACACCUACGGGUGGCAGCAGUCGAGAAUUUUUCACAAUGGGCGAAAGCCUGAUGGAGCGACGCCGCGUGGGGAUGGAAGGCUUCGGCCCGUAAACCCUGUCAUUUGUGAACAAUCGCUCACGACCUAACACGUCAUGAGUUGAUAGUAGCGAAAGAGGAAGGACGGCUAACUCG
RNAcentral lists this ribosomal RNA (503 nucleotides) under uncultured soil bacterium. Its description in RNAcentral is "bacterial SSU rRNA". It matches the Rfam family "Bacterial small subunit ribosomal RNA", at positions 26 to 504 of the family's 1533-position model. The record is from RNAcentral.